Long non-coding RNA from Lacerta agilis (Sand lizard), 703 nucleotides. RefSeq lists it as uncharacterized. Lineage: Eukaryota; Metazoa; Chordata; Lepidosauria; Squamata; Lacertidae. The record is from RefSeq and is a predicted model, not a curated record. The transcript is spliced from 4 exons.
GAAGAAAUACUUCUCUUCUUCUCAUCCUCAUGGGGCAGAAAAGCUCACAAGAUGUCUGUGUGAAACCUCUGCCUUCCUUCAUAGACAGAUUCAAAGCUCUAUCUAAGAAGCACAGGAAGCAGGCCUGUUAAAACAUUGGUAGCUCUGCUGAGAUUUAUCUUCAUUCAGGACCUGCAACUUCACUCAGGUGUCCAGACAGCCUCCUUUUAAAGGUGCAAGCAGAAUGGCAUUAUCAUUUGAAAUGCAAUGAAAAACAGUAAAAUGGGAACAAUCAUUACUUUAACUGCUUCAUGAUCGCCCCGGCAUUCGUAUUUCAGUCUGUGGCUUCCUGAAUAUGUGCCACAAGGCAAUGAAUUUUCUAUCAACCCAUUUUGAUUCGGCAGAACACUUGAAACUAAUGUACAGGCAGUGGAAGGAAUUUGUCAAUGGAAUUUUGCAUUGAGAGUUGCUCUAUUGAUUUGAUAACUAUUGUCUUUGCUUUAAGCCUCUGAUUCUAAAGCACAAAUUGCACUGAUAAUAAAUACAUCCAGGACUAACUAUAGGAAGUGCUUGACUCUAAACACGUUUACCUGAUUUAUAAUAGAACAUGAUUCCAAGUAAGUAUGCAUAUGCCACAUCUUUAAAGUAUUUGAGAUUAGAAUGGCAGUGGUUCCCAGGACCCUUAACACACUACAGUCCAGGAUUUUUUGAGGUGUGUGUGGAA